AGCUGGUUAGAUCUUUGGUAGAGAUCGCUAGUCUCAUAAGCUAGAAAGAGGCAGGUUAGAUUCCUGCACAAGCUUCCA
RNAcentral lists this transfer RNA (78 nucleotides) under Salmonella enterica. RNAcentral describes it as "tRNA-Met". It matches the Rfam family "tRNA". From Rfam's summary of the family: Transfer RNA (tRNA) molecules are approximately 80 nucleotides in length. The record is from RNAcentral. Lineage: Bacteria; Pseudomonadati; Pseudomonadota; Gammaproteobacteria; Enterobacterales; Enterobacteriaceae.